UUUUGACGGAAAAGAAACUCGACUAUCAAUAUAAUAGUGUUUUAUAAUAAGUCUAAAAUACAUUUUUUUUUCAGGAAUUCAUAUACCCAAUGAAGAGAGCAUACCUGAUGACAUAGAUUAUAAUAGAGCAACGUAUGAAAGAAGAGAACUUUUGAAACCUGUUAUGAAAAAAGAAUUGCAACACCAUUAUAAUAAUAGUUCGGUGAAAAUAUGUGAUAAUAAUGAUAUUAAGAAAUGCAGGCUUAUCAGUAUGAUCAGAAGAACGUACAAUACAAUUUCAGAUAAAGAAUUACCCAGAUGCAGAAAUGGAGAGUGUCAUAUAUUUUUGCCAAUUCAGACGGAAGGCUAUGUCGGGAUUGAUCCUUUUAAGAAAUUUCCAGAUAUAUACAGAGAUAGGUUCGACGCUUCUAUUAAUCGUUUUGUU
Long non-coding RNA from Daktulosphaira vitifoliae (grape phylloxera), 424 nucleotides. RefSeq lists it as uncharacterized. The transcript has 3 exons. NCBI's taxonomy places the organism in Eukaryota, Metazoa, Arthropoda, Insecta, Hemiptera, Phylloxeridae. The record is from RefSeq and is a predicted model, not a curated record.